CUUCUCCUUGCUGCUGCCACAUGAAGAAGGACGUGUUUGCUUCCCUUUCCACCAUAAUUGAAGCCAGCUGCUGCCAGAAACAAAGCCUGGACAAGUCGGCUGGAGGAUGUAAGACCAUGUGGAAGAAAAAUCAGCUGUCCUAUCCUAGAGUAGCCUUCAGCCAGCUGACUUGCAUCUAACUACAGAUGCACAGAAGAGCCCAGCAAGA
RNAcentral lists this long non-coding RNA (208 nucleotides) under Homo sapiens (human). RNAcentral describes it as "HSALNT0375859". The record is from RNAcentral. Lineage: Eukaryota; Metazoa; Chordata; Mammalia; Primates; Hominidae.